AACAAAGCUUUGAACCGGAAUAGUACCAUGGAUGUCCGUCCAAGCGAGCCCGGGGUCGGUGCGACCGGGUGACGGCUCCGUGCGAAUGGACCGGCGAGCGACGCCAAUCCCGUCCGCCGACCGCGUUAAAGGUCCCAAGCGCCGGUUCUUCAUGGACCGGAAUCAAGGUGGUACCGCGUCUUCGACGUCCUUCCG
This 195-nucleotide non-coding RNA is filed under the name Mycoplasmatota bacterium. Its description in RNAcentral is "Tenericutes bacterium T-box sequence". It matches the Rfam family "T-box leader". From Rfam's summary of the family: Uncharged tRNA acts as the effector for transcription antitermination of genes in the T-box leader family. The record is from RNAcentral. Lineage: Bacteria; Bacillati; Mycoplasmatota.